CAGCAGCCGCGGUAAUACGUAGGUCCCGAGCGUUGUCCGGAUUUAUUGGGCGUAAAGCGAGCGCAGGCGGUUAGAUAAGUCUGAAGUUAAAGGCUGUGGCUUAACCAUAGUACGCUUUGGAAACUGUUUAACCUGAGUGCAAGAGGGAAGAGUGGAAUUCCAUGUGUAGCGGUGAAAUGCGUAGAUAUAUGGAGGAACACCGGUGGCGAAAGCGGCUCUCUGGCUUGUAACUGACGCUGAGGCUCGAAAGCGUGGGGAGCAAACAGGAUUAGAUACCCCGGUAGUCCCUGUCUCUUAUACC
This 301-nucleotide ribosomal RNA is filed under the name uncultured bacterium. RNAcentral's name for it is "partial 16S ribosomal RNA". It matches the Rfam family "Bacterial small subunit ribosomal RNA", at positions 509 to 808 of the family's 1533-position model. The record is from RNAcentral.